Long non-coding RNA from Xenopus laevis (African clawed frog), 297 nucleotides. RefSeq lists it as uncharacterized. NCBI's taxonomy places the organism in Eukaryota, Metazoa, Chordata, Amphibia, Anura, Pipidae. The transcript is spliced from 3 exons. The record is from RefSeq and is a predicted model, not a curated record.
UUUGCAAGUGAAUGCAGACAGAGAGUGGAAAGGGAUUUGUUAAAUAGCACAUCUGUAUAAUGAUUUCCUUUGUUUGACAUUUAAGGUCGUUUGUGUGGCUGUUUUCAGAAUCUGCUGAGCUCUGAGUGUAUCUCCCUGCUGCUGCUAUACUGCUCUGGACCAGUACCCUGCACCAGCCGCAAACCAAACCGACUUGUGGGCACGCCAUAACUUCUGCAUAAAUUGAAAGCAAAUAUGUAACCAUUAAUCACCAUAGGGACUACAGCCCUCCAAACCAUGAAUUCCAUCAGGUAAACA